Molecule: small RNA, 627 nt
Filed under: uncultured fungus
Lineage: Eukaryota; Fungi
Description: eukaryotic LSU rRNA
Rfam family: 5.8S ribosomal RNA (bases 234-387)
Source: RNAcentral
GGAAGGAUCAUUAAUGAAAUGAAUGUCGAAAGGGGUUGUAGCUGGCCUUUCGGGGCAUGUGCACACCUUGAUCGCACAUCCACCUCUUCUCACACCUGUGCACUAUGUGUAGCUUGGGGAUGAUUACAAUAUUGGAAACAAUGUUGAAAGCCCUAGCUAUGAAUUUUUUAUACACCCACAUACAAAGUUAUAGAAUGCAUAAUAUUAUUGUGUGUAAUAGCACAAAUAAAUACAACUUUCAGCAACGGAUCUCUUGGCUCUCGCAUCGAUGAAGAACGCAGCGAAAUGCGAUAAGUAAUGUGAAUUGCAGAAUUCAGUGAAUCAUCGAAUCUUUGAACGCACCUUGCGCUCCUUGGUAUUCCGAGGAGCAUGCCUGUUUGAGUGUCAUAAAAUUAUCAACUGCCUUUUUAUGUUAAAGGGGUGAAGUUGGAGUUGGAGGAUAAUUGCUGGCGCAACUAAGGUUGCUUGUUGGCUCCUCUUGAAUGGAUGAGCUUUUCUGAUAGAUCAUAGCUCAGUAACACUAAUGUGAUAAUUAUCUACGUUAGAUGUGAAAGCUGUGAGUAGAGUAACUAACUCCUAUAGAAAAGAUAACAACUUUACACAAAUUUGACCUCAAAUCAGGUAGGA